AGAGGGUGCAAACGUUGUUCGGAAUUACUGGGCGUAAAGCGUGUGUAGGCGGUGAGGUAAGUCAGGUGUGAAAUCCCACGGCUCAACCAUGGAAGUGCACUUGAUUCUGCUUCGCUUGAGUACUGGAGAGGUUGGUGGAAUUCUUGGUGUAGAGGUGAAAUUCGUAGAUAUCAAGAGGAACACCGGUGGCGAAGGCGGCCAACUGGACAGAUACUGACGCUGAGACACGAAAGCGCGGGGAGCAAACAGGAUUAGAUACCCUGGUAGUCCGCGCCGUAAACGAUGGGUGCUAGGUGUCACGGGCUUUGACUCCUGUGGUGCCGUAGCCAACGCAUUAAGCACCCCGCCUGGGAAGUACGGCCGCAAGGCUA
Molecule: ribosomal RNA, 371 nt
Filed under: uncultured bacterium
Lineage: Bacteria
Description: bacterial SSU rRNA
Rfam family: Bacterial small subunit ribosomal RNA
Source: RNAcentral